Scylla paramamosain (green mud crab) is the source of this 5082-nucleotide long non-coding RNA. RefSeq lists it as uncharacterized. The transcript is spliced from 6 exons. The record is from RefSeq and is a predicted model, not a curated record. NCBI's taxonomy places the organism in Eukaryota, Metazoa, Arthropoda, Malacostraca, Decapoda, Portunidae.
UAUUUUAUUUUUUUCUGUAGUGUUAUUAAUCCCCAACCUAUGUUCGUGCGCCCCUAUGCACUGUUUUGUAACCAACCUUUCUUUAAUAAACUGUUAAACUGCGACUGAUGUACAGGCACAGUACAAGGUUUUCGGUACAGGUCAGAGUACGUUUCAGAAAAGAUGGGAUUGCUAUUUUUGCUGUUCGAACUUUCUUAGGUUUCGAGACGUGAGCUCGAGGCGAUGAAGGGUCGAGCCUGAGGGACUUCCCAUUUUUCAGUGUGUGUGUCGUGGUGGCGAGGAGCGGUGGUGUAGCUUCCUUUGGCUGCUGCUGCUCCUGCUCCUCCUUUCUUUUCCCCCUUUAGUCUUUUUUAACGCUUGUCCUCGUGUCCCUCUUCCUCCUCGUUGCCUUUCCAUCGUUAUCGUUAUCAUCAUCCUCGCCCUCUCCGCUGGCUUUGUGUUCCUCACCUUACAUCUGCAGAUGGGGCUCACAUUCCUCUUCCUUUUUCUGCUGAUUCAACGCUUCUCGAUUUUAGUUUUCUUUCUCCUCGUUCUCAUCUUUUAUCUUGUCCUCCACCACUCCUCUCCACACGAACAAGGACACACACACGCCACACUGUCACUGUCGAUCCGGUGUCAUUGCAACGUCUUGUUCAGGAAACCGGAACAAGGAGACAUGAAAGUUGGCAGUGCGUGUGGCUGUGGUGAGCGGCGGCGGCGGCGGCGGCGACGACGACGACGACGACGACGACGACGACGUGUGGCGUGGCGAGCGGGUUUCUGCAGUAUCCCUCUCCUUCCCGUUUUCUGUUCUUCCCCUUUCUCUUCCUCCGCCUAGUGUACUGCUACUCGCUCUUGUACGGUGACUUUUUUUUUUCCUUCGUUGCAAUAUUUUGUCGUCUGUUUUCUCUUUUCUUUUCUUCUCGUGCUUUUUAUUCACAUUAUUAUUUCUUAUUCUAUUUUGUUUAUUUUGUGUGUUUGUACGUGUGUAUUUUCCUCUUCCACAUUUUAUUUGGAUUUUCUUAAUUUUUCUCGUAUUUUUCUAUUCUUCCUUGUAUCACACACACACACACACACACACACGCCGCGUAGUGUAGUGGUUGUUAGCACGCUCGGCUCACAACCAAGAAGGCCUGGGUUCGAAUCCCGGGAGCGACGAGGCAAAUGGGCGAGCCUCUUAAUGUGUAGUCCCUGUUUACCUAGCAGCAAGUAGGUACGGGAUGUAACCCGAGGGGUUGUGACCUCGCUGUUUUAUUAUUAAAUAGUUUGCAUAUUCAUUUAUCUACAUAUAUUAUUUGCAUAUUUAUUUAUCUACAUAUAUUAUUUUUAUUUUAUUAUUAUUAUUAUUAUUUAUUUUAUUUUAUUUAUUUAUUUAUUUUGUGUGUGUGUGUGUCGGGGAUGAGUUUUACAGCUCUCAUCGCAAGUUGUAUUAAAAUUCAAUAGCCACAUUUGCUCGCUCGUGUAUAUAUUGUUUAGUGUUAUCAGCGGUUCUUAAGAAACAGGAUUUUAAGAGAUUAUAAACUUUACGUGAUAUUAAGUUUUGUUUGGUUAACACUUGAUGCGCUUCAUCCUUCUCUCGCUCCUUGUUCGUGUUUCAUUCUCUUUCCUCGUGUAAACUGCUGUCCUCAUUCGUUUGUUCCCUUCUUUUAUGCACUUCAACCAUCCAGCCACAAUUUCUCGGUUGCCUCUGCACUUGUGUUGUUGUCUUUUUCAUCUUGUAUUCUAAGGCAAUGGAACAGUCCGUUGAUUUCUGUUGCUAUUUUUAAAUUCUUGCACUAUAUACAUUUUUCAUAGAUUUUCCUGGAAACCAUGAUUUUAAGACCAAUUGGAAAGUGGUCGUGAUGGUCCUCGUCCAGCUCCUCGCCACCUCACCACACGCCACCACCUUCCCUGUUGAUGCUGCGUCAACUUUAUUGUUACCUGUCGAACUUCAUUGCAGUCCUCGCCGUUGCAUUCCCACAUGCGUCGCUGUCAUGGCACCCUGGCACCCUACAGCCACAACUGCUGCUGCUGUCUUUUAUCCUGUAACAGGCGUGUGAGCGGUGUUGUGAUCGUCGCCUAGAGGUGUCCAUGUUCCGGGAGUCGCUGCCCUUCCAGUCCCCCUCCGCUGUCUGUCUGAGCAACCUGGGUGAAGAGCGGCGGACGCCGUGUUCCAUGUUAAUGUUUGCUGACCAGCCGUCCCCUCUUAUUUUCUCGGUCCUAGCGAGGUGAAGGAGGGACGCUUGCUUCUGCGGCAAACAGAAGCAAUCCACGAGGACGACAGGAAGGUGCGAACGUUUGAGGUGGAUGAAAAUAAUUGAUUAAUUGCUCAAUAUGUUGCUGACCAGCAGUCUUCAACGUUCGCACCGUGUCGUCCUCGUGGGUUGCCAUCUUAAACGUUUAACCUUCACCACUUUAUCAGAAGCCGCCUCCUUUACUAACUAGUAGGGACUGGAGAGGCAAAGAGGACGGGGCUGAUCAGCAAACGGAUGGAGAAACCAAGAGUAUGCCAUCUCGUGUCUCCAACCCAACGGGGUGGUUGUAAGCACCGAGCAGAAUCAGGGAGCCAAGACGCAAGUAUGGGGAUAGCCCGCGAAUGCCCGGCGAUGUCUUUAGUACGAAAACUCUGGGAGGGUGAAGAGGCACGUGGCAUUCAGCGGGUGAGAACUCGCAUGUUGCUGGAAGACAAGUAAGUGUUGCAACUAUGGACAUCUACCACCAGAGCGGUAGCCGGCCAUUACGAAUUACCCACACCAUUUUGAGAUGAAGAACCGGAUCUGCCAAACAACAACAACGAGAUGGCGCAGAAACGCUUGAAGGGACAGACGACGCCUCGCUAGGGAUUCGGACUUCAGACGACGAUAUGCAGGAGAGAGAGAACACUUGCUGUUAAAGAGCGAUGCCAGCGUCUGAACGUGAAGGACCACGAGGAGUAACCUGGUGCCUGCCUCACCAUCCACUCAUGAACCCAAACAAACCUGAGAAAGUGAAGGCUUUGUUUGCGCAGCGAAGUACAACAACGUUUCCCUCAAAGACUGAGUGAUGCAGGUUCCUGACCUAAAUAGCAAACUGGUGGGUGCCCUUCUGCGUUUCCGAAGUGAACGGAUUGCCGCGAUGGCUGAUGUGAAGGCAAUGUUUCUCAUCAAGCUGGCGUGACCCCUCUUCACCGAGACUCCUUAAGAGAUUCCUUUGGUGGAAAGAUGGGAACCUAAGGAGGGUAACGCGCGCCUACCGAAUGACGGGUAUGUCUUUUCGGGUGUGUAUGGAGUCCCUCCUGUGCUGCUUACGCAUUGCAACGAACUUUGACCGACUGUGAGGAAGAAUAUGGCAUAGCUAGUAGUUACUGAACAUGGAGGGGCUUGUACGUAGACAACUUACUUCUUUCAGUACCCUCCACCGAAAAGGCAUCCAGAUUUACUCGCGAUCUUUGGCUCACAAAGAGAGGAUUUCUCCUAAGUGGGUUAGUAGUAACCUUAAGGAGACAUAGUACAGUACUGUGUCCUACAGAGAGAGACAGGAAUAAGAAUAGAUCUGAGUAAGGACGCACUGGCUACAAAACGGGAUCUGGAAAGGGAUCAGUCAAUCAACUAGCUGUGAGGGGAGUACUGAGGGUGAGCAGCUCCGUUCAUGACCCUCUUGGACUGGUCAGUCCUGUAAUGAUUAAGGCGAAGGCGAUGAUCAAUUAAGGCGAAGGCGAAGAUCUUUCAGGACGAGUGCAGCCGAUAAGGAAGGAUGGAUGACCCCCUCCUAAAUCACCACAGGUCCUAGUUGGUUGGCUUGGCUGGAGGAGUUACCAGGACUGACAGUCUUUCAAGUUCCCCGAUGCUACAGGCGGGAGGACAUGGGAGAUGUUUUAUCACUUACCAACUGCAUCAUUUCAGAUCAAACAGGCUGAGAUGGUGAUAUUAAGAGUUGUUCAAACCACAACGUGCAAAGAGGAGAUGAACAUCCUAAAGUCAAAGUCAAAGAAAAAAAACUACAGAGGAAACAUUCGAUCUGUCGAGUGGAAUCCCUUCAUGGGUGAGGGUGGAUCCAGCCGUCCUCCAUGUGGACGGCUGGACCACGCACCGUUGCCUGCUACAAGUCGGUAUCCCAUUUCCAUGCUCAUACGGAGAGAGAUCAUCAUAUCACAAAAUUGAUUCUACAAGAGUGCAUGAGGACUUACUUGACAGUUCACGCAGGAUGGGAGCAUGUUACGUCACACUUACUGGAUUCCACAUACACCACCUGCCUGAGGACCGAGAGUAACCCCCAUGCUGGCACCAUUCUCGUCAGCUGGAGUGGAUUGCUUCAGACCGUUCUUGGUCAAAGUGGAAAGAAGCAGAGUGAGUGAGUGGGGAUGCCUCCACGUGCAUGACUACACACAUAAGAACAUAAGAAAUAAGGGAAGCUGCAAGAAGCGACCAGGCUUACACGUGGCAGUCCCUAUAUGAAAUAUACCUACCUAUUUUCUAUUUAUUAUCCCUAUCCAUCCAUAAACCUGUCUAAUCUUCUCUUAAAGCUCUCUAGUGUCGUAGCACUAACGUUGUUAAACUUGAUUUACCGAGUCCGUUCCACUCAUCUACCACUCUGAGAACCAAACCUAAACCUAAAUUUUUCAAGCUUGAACCCAUUAUUUCUUGUUCUCUACCCUGGUUGCUGAUCCUAACAAUUUUGCUUAUACCACUUAAAAAGACUUACUUUUUAAUAAAAGUAUCAGGUCCCCUCUUAAAAUAACAUCUUUCUAAAGAAUGUAAAUUUAACAGCUUCAAUCUCGCCUCGUAAAGAAUACUCAUCCCCUGUAUCUUUUUAGUCAUUCUCCUCUGUACUGAUCUAUAUAAAAUACAUCUUUCUAAAGAAUGUAAAUUUAACACAGCUUCAAUCUCGCCUCGUAAUGAAUACUCCUCAUCCCCUGUAUCCUUUUAGUCAUUCUCCUCUGUACUGAUCUAUAUAAAAUACAUCUUUCUAAAGAAUGUAAAUUUAACACAGCUCCAAUCUCGCCUCGUAAGGAAUACUCCUCAUCCCCUGUAUCCUUUUAGUCAUUCUCCUCUGUACUGAUCUAUAUAUAUCUAAUAGAGACCUAUAUCACAGCGUAGUCUACACGAGGUCUGACCAGCGAGCGCAAAGUAUAAAACUUUAAUAUCA